UCAGGGAGGUAGUGACAAGAAAUAACGGACCGAGGUUAUGCCUCGGGUUUGCAAUGAGUAGAAUUUAAACCCCUUUACGAGGAUCAAUUGGAGGGCAAGUCUGGUGCCAGCAGCCGCGGUAAUUCCAGCUCCAAUAGCAUAUAUUAAAGUUGUUGCAGUUAAAAAGCUCGUAGUUGGAUUUCUGGGAGGGUGCCAAUGUCCGCUGUUGCGUGUGCAGCGGCGCCCUUCCAUCCUUCUGUUAACGUUUCUGGUAUUCAGUUACUGGUCUCGGGCUCAGAUACUUUACCUUGAGAAAAUUAGAGUGUUCCAGGCAGGCUUGCGCCGGAAUACAUUAGCAUGGAAUAAUAGAAUAGGACUUUAGUCUCCUUUGUUGGUUUGAGGGACUGAAGUAAUGAUUAAUAGGGAUAGUUGGGGGCAUUAGUAUUUAAUUGUCAGAGGUGAAAUUCUCGGAUUUGUUAAAGACUAACUUAUGCGAAAGCAUUUGCCAAGGAUGUUUUCAUUAAUCAAGAACGAAAGUUAGGGGAUCAAAGACGAUCAGAUACCGUCGUAGUCUUAACCAUAAACUAUGCCGACUAGGGAUCGGAGGCGCGUUUUAUCCGCCUUCGGCACCUUAUGAGAAAUCAAAGUCUUUGGGUUCUGGGGGGAGUAUGGUCGCAAGGCUGAAACUUAAAGGAAUUGACGGAAGGGCACCACCAGGAGUGGAGCUUGCGGCUCAAUUUGACUCAACACGGGAAAACUUACCAGGUCCAGACAUAGUGAGGAU
This 763-nucleotide ribosomal RNA is filed under the name Stichotrichia sp. 2 cLPN3. RNAcentral's name for it is "SSU rRNA". It matches the Rfam family "Eukaryotic small subunit ribosomal RNA", at positions 456 to 1240 of the family's 1831-position model. The record is from RNAcentral. Lineage: Eukaryota; Ciliophora; Spirotrichea.